Molecule: unclassified non-coding RNA, 328 nt
Filed under: soil metagenome
Description: partial contains 5.8S ribosomal RNA, internal transcribed spacer 2, and large subunit ribosomal RNA
Rfam family: 5.8S ribosomal RNA (bases 1-120)
Source: RNAcentral
GAUGAAGAACGCAGCGAAAUGCGAUAAGUAAUGUGAAUUGCAGAAUUCAGUGAAUCAUCGAAUCUUUGAACGCACAUUGCGCCCUUUGGUAUUCCGAAGGGCAUGCCUGUUCGAGCGUCAUUAUAACCACUCAAGCUCUCGCUUGGUAUUGGGGUUCGCGGUCUCGCGGCCCCUAAAAUCAGUGGCGGUGCCUGUCGGCUCUACGCGUAGUAAUACUCCUCGCGAUUGAGUCCGGUAGGUGACUUGCCAGCAACCCCCAAAUUUUUCAGGUUGACCUCGGAUCAGGUAGGGAUACCCGCUGAACUUAAGCAUAUCAAUAAGCGGAGGA